RNAcentral lists this ribosomal RNA (473 nucleotides) under uncultured bacterium. RNAcentral's name for it is "bacterial SSU rRNA". It matches the Rfam family "Bacterial small subunit ribosomal RNA", at positions 329 to 793 of the family's 1533-position model. The record is from RNAcentral.
UUGCGCACUCCUACGGGAGGCAGCAGUGGGGAAUAUUGCACAAUGGGCGCAAGCCUGGAUGCAGCCAUGCCGCGUGUAUGAAGAAGGCCUUCGGGUUGUAAAGUACUUUCAGCAGUGAGGAAGGUGGGUAUGUUAAUAGCAUACUCAUUUGACGUUAGCUGCAGAAGAAGCACCGGCUAACUCCGUGCCAGCAGCCGCGGUAAUACGGAGGGUGCGAGCGUUAAUCGGAAUUACUGGGCGUAAAGCGCAUGCAGGUGGUUUGUUAAGUCAGAUGUGAAAGGCCCGGGGCUCAACCUCGGAAUUGCAUUUGAAACUGGCAAACUAGAGUACUGUAGAGGGGGUAGAAUUUCAGGUGUAGCGGUGAAAUGCGUAGAGAUCUGAAGGAAUACCGGUGGCGAAGGCGGCCCCCUGGACAGAUACUGACACUCAGAUGCGAAAGCGUGGGGAGCAAACAGGAUUAGAUACCCUGGUAG